RNAcentral lists this unclassified non-coding RNA (353 nucleotides) under soil metagenome. RNAcentral's name for it is "partial contains 5.8S ribosomal RNA, internal transcribed spacer 2, and large subunit ribosomal RNA". The stretch from base 1 to 120 matches the Rfam family "5.8S ribosomal RNA", at positions 35 to 154 of the family's 154-position model. The record is from RNAcentral.
GAUGAAGAACGCAGCGAAAUGCGAUAAGUAAUGUGAAUUGCAGAAUUCAGUGAAUCAUCGAAUCUUUGAACGCACAUUGCGCCCGCCAGUAUUCUGGCGGGCAUGCCUGUUCGAGCGUCAUUACAACCCUCAGGCCCCCGGGCCUGGCGUUGGGGAUCGGCGGAAGCCCCCUGCGGGCACAACGCCGUCCCCCAAAUACAGUGGCGGUCCCGCCGCAGCUUCCAUUGCGUAGUAGCUAACACCUCGCAACUGGAGAGCGGCGCGGCCACGCCGCAAAACACCCAACUUCUGAAUGUUGACCUCGAAUCAGGUAGGAAUACCCGCUGAACUUAAGCAUAUCAAUAAGCGGAGGA